UACGUAGGGUGCAAGCGUUGUCCGGAAUUAUUGGGCGUAAAGAGCUCGUAGGCGGUCCGUCACGUCGGCUGUGAAAACUCGGGGCUCAACCCCGAGCCUGCAGUCGAUACGGGCGGACUAGAGUCCGGCAGGGGAGACUGGAAUUCCUGGUGUAGCGGUGAAAUGCGCAGAUAUCAGGAGGAACACCGGUGGCGAAGGCGGGUCUCUGGGCCGAUACUGACGCUGAGGAGCGAAAGCGUGGGGAGCGAACAGG
This 253-nucleotide ribosomal RNA is filed under the name uncultured bacterium. Its description in RNAcentral is "partial 16S ribosomal RNA". It matches the Rfam family "Bacterial small subunit ribosomal RNA", at positions 524 to 776 of the family's 1533-position model. The record is from RNAcentral.